RNAcentral lists this ribosomal RNA (617 nucleotides) under uncultured bacterium. Its description in RNAcentral is "bacterial SSU rRNA". It matches the Rfam family "Bacterial small subunit ribosomal RNA", at positions 202 to 842 of the family's 1533-position model. The record is from RNAcentral.
GAAAGCCCCGACGGCGCGGGAUGGGGUCGCGGCCCAUUAGGUAGUAGGCGGGGUAGAGGCCCACCUAGCCGACGAUGGGUAGCCGGACUGAGAGGUCGAUCGGCCACAUUGGGACUGAGAUACGGCCCAGACUCCUACGGGAGGCAGCAGUGGGGAAUUUUGCGCAAUGGGGGAAACCCUGACGCAGCAACGCCGCGUGCGGGACGAAGGCCCUCAGGUCGUAAACCGCUUUCAGCAGGGAAGACCACGACGGUACCUGCAGAAGAAGCUCCGGCUAACUACGUGCCAGCAGCCGCGGUAAUACGUAGGGGGCGAGCGUUAUCCGGAUUCAUUGGGCGUAAAGCGCGCGUAGGCGGCCGCCUAAGCGGGACCUCUAACCCCGGGGCUCAACCUCGGGCCGGGUUCCGGACUGGGCGGCUCGAGUGCGGUAGAGGAGAGCGGAAUUCCCGGUGUAGCGGUGGAAUGCGCAGAUAUCGGGAAGAACACCGAUGGCGAAGGCAGCUCUCUGGGCCGUCACUGACGCUGAGGCGCGAAAGCUGGGGGAGCGAACAGGAUUAGAUACCCUGGUAGUCCCAGCCGUAAACGAUGGAUACUAGGUGUGGGGGGAUCCCCCCUCC